UUAAAUUUUAUUUAUUAAUUUUAUAUAUUUUUUAUUAAAAUAUUAAAAAUAAUUAUAAAUUAAAAAGUUUUAGUAUUGUUUAAAGAAAAAAUAAAUUUAAUAAUAGUUUAAUAGUAUUGUAAAAGAAAAUUGAAAUAAUUUGAAAAAAUAUUAUUUAAAAAGAAAAUUUAAUUUAUUGUACCUUGUGUAUCAGUGUUUAUUAAAUAAAAAAUAUUAAUUAUAUUUUUCUCGAUUUUAAAAGAGUUAAUAUGAUACAAAAGUUAAUGUAAUAAAAUUAUUUUUAAUAUCAUAUUAGAAAUGAAAUGUUAUUCGUUUUUAAAGGUAUCUAGUUUUUCAAGAAAUAAAUUUAAUUUAGAAAUUAUAAAUUUAUUUUAAAAAUUAUUUAAUAAAAUGAUUUAUAAUUUUAAUAUUUUAUGGGAUAAGCUAUAAAAUAAAUUAUUAAAAAUAAUAAAUAAAUUUAAUAAAUAUAUGCUUAGAAUUAGCAAUUGUUUAUAAUUAUGUUAUAAUUUAUUUUAUAAAUAAAAUUAUUUAUUAAAUUUUAAUUAUUUAUUGAAAUAUUAAUUUUAAUUUUUAAAAUUAAGUAAUUAUGAUAAAAUUAGUAUAUAUAUAUAUAAUUGUAAUAAUAAAUUUAAAUGAAAAGUUUAAAU
Molecule: ribosomal RNA, 647 nt
Filed under: Drosophila emarginata
Lineage: Eukaryota; Metazoa; Arthropoda; Insecta; Diptera; Drosophilidae
Description: partial 16S ribosomal RNA
Source: RNAcentral